GGGUUGUGAGGUUAAGCGACUAAGCGUACACGGUGGAUGCCCUGGCAGUCAGAGGCGAUGAAGGGCGUACUAAUCUGCGAUAAGCGCCGGUAAGGUGAUAUGAACCGUUAUAACCGGCGAUACCCGAAUGGGGAAACCCAGUGUGAUUCGUCACACUAUCAUUAACUGAAUCCAUAGGUUAAUGAGGCGAACCGGGGGAACUGAAACAUCUAAGUACCCCGAGGAAAAGAAAUCAACCGAGAUUCCCCCAGUAGCGGCGAGCGAACGGGGAGGAGCCCAGAGCCUGAAUCAGCAUGUGUGUUAGUGGAAGCGUCUGGAAAGGCGCGCGAUACAGGGUGACAGCCCCGUACACAAAAGCGCAUGUGCUGUGAGCUCGAUGAGUAGGGCGGGACACGUGGUAUCCUGUCUGAAUAUGGGGGGACCAUCCUCCAAGGCUAAAUACUCCUGACUGACCGAUAGUGAACCAGUACCGUGAGGGAAAGGCGAAAAGAACCCCGGCGAGGGGAGUGAAAAAGAACCUGAAACCGUGUACGUACAAGCAGUGGGAGCACCCUUUGGGUGUGACUGCGUACCUUUUGUAUAAUGGGUCAGCGACUUAUAUUCUGUAGCAAGGUUAACCGAAUAGGGGAGCCGGAGGGAAACCGAGUCUUAACCGGGCGUUAAGUUGCAGGGUAUAGACCCGAAACCCGGUGAUCUAGCCAUGGGCAGGUUGAAGGUUGGGUAACACUAACUGGAGGACCGAACCGACUAAUGUUGAAAAAUUAGCGGAUGACCUGUGGCUGGGGGUGAAAGGCCAAUCAAACCGGGAGAUAGCUGGUUCUCCCCGAAAGCUAUUUAGGUAGCGCCUCGUGAAUUCAUCUCCGGGGGUAGAGCACUGUUUCGGCUAGGGGGCCAUCCCGGCUUACCAACCCGAUGCAAACUGCGAAUACCGGAGAAUGUUAUCACGGGAGACACACGGCGGGUGCUAACGUCCGUCGUGAAGAGGGAAACAACCCAGACCGCCAGCUAAGGUCCCAAAGUCAUGGUUAAGUGGGAAACGAUGUGGGAAGGCCCAGACAGCCAGGAUGUUGGCUUAGAAGCAGCCAUCAUUUAAAGAAAGCGUAAUAGCUCACUGGUCGAGUCGGCCUGCGCGGAAGAUGUAACGGGGCUAAACCAUGCA
Molecule: ribosomal RNA, 1159 nt
Filed under: Salmonella enterica subsp. enterica serovar Enteritidis
Lineage: Bacteria; Pseudomonadati; Pseudomonadota; Gammaproteobacteria; Enterobacterales; Enterobacteriaceae
Description: partial 23S ribosomal RNA
Rfam family: Bacterial large subunit ribosomal RNA
Source: RNAcentral